Molecule: transfer RNA, 85 nt
Filed under: Candidatus Providencia siddallii
Lineage: Bacteria; Pseudomonadati; Pseudomonadota; Gammaproteobacteria; Enterobacterales; Morganellaceae
Description: transfer RNA Tyrosine
Rfam family: tRNA
About the family: Transfer RNA (tRNA) molecules are approximately 80 nucleotides in length.
Source: RNAcentral
GGUGGGAUACCCAAGUGGCUAAAGGGAACAGACUGUAAAUCUGCUGUCAUUGACUUCGAAGGUUCAAAUCCUUCUCCCACCACAA